RNAcentral lists this ribosomal RNA (914 nucleotides) under uncultured Bacillota bacterium. RNAcentral describes it as "bacterial SSU rRNA". It matches the Rfam family "Bacterial small subunit ribosomal RNA", at positions 1 to 917 of the family's 1533-position model. The record is from RNAcentral. Lineage: Bacteria; Bacillati; Bacillota.
UGGAUCCAGACUUUGAUUAUGGCUCAGGAUGAACGCUGGCGGCGUGCCUAACACAUGCAAGUCGAACGGACCGAAGAUAACAGAGAUUCGUCAAAGUAAUCUGAAGGUUAGUGGCGGACGGGUGAGUAACGCGUGGGUAACCUGCCUUAUAGAGGGGGAUAACGAUUGGAAACGGUCGCUAAUACCGCAUAAGCCCCCGGUACCGCAUGGUACAGAGGGAAAAGAUUUAUUGCUAUAAGAUGGACCCGCGUCAGAUUAGUUAGUUGGCGGUGUAACGGACCACCAAGACGACGAUCUGUAGCCGGACUGAGAGGUUGAACGGCCACAUUGGGACUGAGACACGGCCCAAACUCCUACGGGAGGCAGCAGUGGGGAAUAUUGCACAAUGGGGGAAACCCUGAUGCAGCGACGCCGCGUGGGUGAAGAAGUUUUUCGGAAUGUAAAGCCCUAUCAGCAGGGAAGAAGAUGACGGUACCUGACUAAGAAGCCCCGGCUAACUACGUGCCAGCAGCCGCGGUAAUACGUAGGGGGCAAGCGUUAUCCGGAUUUACUGGGUGUAAAGGGAGCGUAGACGGAAUAGCAAGUCUGAAGUGAAAUCAUAGGGCUCAACCCUGUAAUUGCUUUGGAAACUGUUGAUCUUGAGUACCGGAGGGGCAGGCGGAAUUCCUGGUGUAGCGGUGAAAUGCGUAGAUAUCAGGAAGAACACCGGUGGCGAAGGCGGCCUGCUGGACGGCAACUGACGUUGAGGCUCGAAAGCGUGGGGAGCAAACAGGAUUAGAUACCCUGGUAGCCCACGCUGUAAACGAUGAAUACUAAGUGUUGGCACCCGAAGGGUGUCGGUGCUGCCGCAAACGCAAUAAGUAUUCCACCUGGGGAGUACGUACGCAAGUAUGCAACUCAAAUGAAUUGACGGA